AAAAGAAAAGAACAAUCACGUGAAGGAAGGAAGGAACGGGUUGUUGUUUUGUUUUGUUUUGUUUUGUUUUGGUCCUUUUCUCGUCUUUUCUCUUU
This 95-nucleotide non-coding RNA is filed under the name Chromera velia. The record is from RNAcentral. Lineage: Eukaryota; Chromeraceae.